Molecule: ribosomal RNA, 459 nt
Filed under: uncultured bacterium
Lineage: Bacteria
Description: partial 16S ribosomal RNA
Rfam family: Bacterial small subunit ribosomal RNA
Source: RNAcentral
CCUACGGGAGGCAGCAGUGGGGAAUAUUGGUCAAUGGGAGAGAUCCUGAACCAGCCACGCCGCGUGAGGGAAGACGGCCCUAUGGGUUGUAAACCUCUUUUGUCGGAGAACAAAACCCGGGACGAGUCCAGGACUGCGUGUAUCCGAAGAAAAAGCAUCGGCUAACUCCGUGCCAGCAGCCGCGGAAAUACGGGGGAUGCGAGCGUUAUCCGGAUUUAUUGGGUUUAAAGGGUGCGUAGGCGGUCUGUUAAGUCAGCGGUAAAAGUGCGGGGCUCAACCCGGUCGAGCCGUUGAAACUGGCAGACUUGAGUGGGCGAGAAGUACGCGGAAUUCGCGGUGUAGCGGUGAAAUGCGUAGAUAUCGCGCAGAACUCCGAUGGCGAAGGCAGCGUACCGGCGCCAGACUGACGCUGAGGCACGAAAGCGUGGGGAUCGAACAGGAUUAGAUACCCCUGUAGUC